RNAcentral lists this transfer RNA (87 nucleotides) under Candidatus Saccharimonadota bacterium. RNAcentral describes it as "tRNA-Leu". It matches the Rfam family "tRNA". From Rfam's summary of the family: Transfer RNA (tRNA) molecules are approximately 80 nucleotides in length. Their secondary structure includes four short double-helical elements and three loops (D, anti-codon, and T loops). Lineage: Bacteria; Candidatus Saccharimonadota. The record is from RNAcentral.
GCGCAGGUGGUGGAAUUGGCAUACACGAGGGACUUAAAAUCCCUUGCUUGAAAAAGCUUGCGGGUUCAAGUCCCGCCCUGCGCACCA